Heterocephalus glaber (naked mole-rat) is the source of this 398-nucleotide long non-coding RNA. NCBI's taxonomy places the organism in Eukaryota, Metazoa, Chordata, Mammalia, Rodentia, Bathyergidae. The record is from Ensembl.
CUCUCUGCUUCCCAGCCACCGCAAGCUGAGCAGUAACCUUGCCACCCACAUUCGACAGGAUGUACAGAGCCACUGCAGGCCCCAAGUAAAGGAAGACGUGAAGUAGGCAUGGACUGAAACCUCCGAAACCGACCAAUUAUCUCUGGAUAAUGAAGAACUCGUGUGUUCACAGUGAGGAACACGUCUUUCCGGUGUGGCCCCAAAUGGAGGCAAGGAGUGGAUCAGGCUGCUGAAAGAGUUCCUAAGAGAGAUGAAGACAUGAUCCAGGCUUUUGUGGUGGAGAAAGCAGUUUCAAAGACCCGGAUGCAUACAGAACCAAACCAUUACUUAGCGUGUGGCAGGCUCUGGGCAGGAGUGGAGUAUCAUUCAGCAAUAAAGAAGGAAGAAUUGACAAAGGC